This is a long non-coding RNA of Ictalurus furcatus (blue catfish), 1192 nucleotides long. RefSeq lists it as uncharacterized. The record is from RefSeq and is a predicted model, not a curated record. NCBI's taxonomy places the organism in Eukaryota, Metazoa, Chordata, Actinopteri, Siluriformes, Ictaluridae. The transcript is spliced from 2 exons.
UCCACAGUGGAAUUCUGCCUGACUACAGAACACCAUCUGCGUGCUCGUCUGGGCCCGAUACUGACUACCGGAAAAAUAUCCAGACACUGGAGUAAUCGGUUUCAAACCAGGUUUAGACUGGUAUAACAGAAUCUAUGGUCUGUUUUCAGUUCAGGUUUUACACGCUAGCAAUGAACUGAGCGCGUAGAUUAGCAAAGCAUACAUGCUAUCUAAUCUACUGAACAAACCUUGAAAAAAAAACAUUCCAGUGUAAGAUGUUCUGUCACAAGAUAAACAAUACCCUUGACCUCUGGAGAAAAAAAAAAAAAAAUCAAAUAAUAAAUAUUGAUUCUGGACAUGUUUGACAUUUAUUCAAAUACUAAGGUAAUUUAAGGCUAUUUUCUGUCCACAUAGCACUCAUAUACACCAUGUAUAUGUGGCGUAUCCACAGACAGUGUCGUGUCAAUCACAGCCGGCAACGAGGUCAGUGGCCUGAAUCCUGAACCACGUCGGAUGAGCUUCAGACACGGCAGACCGGCUUUACAGCAACAUAGCUUCUGUGAACGAGACGCUUCCCUGCUGCGCGUCUAAAAUUCACUUUCAUUUGGCUGCUUGCUUCCAGCUUCCAAAUAUUACAUUGCCAACAAAACCGCAGGAUGUCAACGGGAGCGCGUGAAGCUGGAGGCACAGGAGGCUGAUGCAAUACAGGCUGAGAGGGAGAAGUGAAUGCAUCGUGGACGAAGAUAUCUCUCUCUCACACACACACACACCCCUGGGGAAGGACACACCACCUGGACAAAAUUGGAAGGGACUCCCGAGAUGUUCCUAAAAAUAAAGAUCCGGCCUGAAAAGGCUUUGCUUUGUAUUUGGACCCUGUCACGGGGGGGGGAGAGAGAGAGAGAGAGAGAGAGAGUAUGACUGCUGUUCCAUCCAGAACUGUAUGGCAAACAUUAUUAUUAUUUUUUAAAUAUUAUGCAUCAAAUGUGCAGCAAAAUUGUCUAUAGAGGACGCUUUUAAAAAAAAAUUGUUUUAAAGUCCCCUACACACACACACACACACACACACACACACACUCACUCAGUCAUCUGAAUGAACUUUUGCAGUGCUGAAUUCUUUUUUUUUUUUUUUUUGCAAUAUUCAGCUGGACUCAACCCAAAACAACACUAACUGGUUCAUACAUGCAGUCAAUAAAACAGACCAAAAUAUUCUCAUA